UGAAAAUCUUGUUUGGUGGAUCUGGGCUCU
Molecule: non-coding RNA, 30 nt
Filed under: Mus musculus (house mouse)
Lineage: Eukaryota; Metazoa; Chordata; Mammalia; Rodentia; Muridae
Source: RNAcentral